UCGACCCUAAUCCGGACAGCUCUGCUCGGAGGGUUUAGAAUGUUGUUCCCUGAAAUACAAAGGAGCCAGGACCGGGUUUGCUAACCGUUACGGGGACAAGGUGGGGAAGUUGCCCUGCCUCCCGGGACCAGCGCUGCCAAAUUCUUCUGGUGUCCUGGCGUCCGCGCGCUCCGGGGCCUCGGUGUCCUGAGUAGCCGGGCGAGAACAGUGUUUGGCUCUCAGACCUGCAAGGUGCCACUCGCCUUGAGCUAGUUUCUAAAUCUUGUCACCCUCCGGCGGAGGGCCUGCGCGCUGCACACAGAUAUGGAACGCAGGACUUGAGGGGACUACAAGUGCUCCCUUUGCUGGAGACAUAAACCAAGGAGAGCUCUUACCUUCUCCUGGCCCUGGCUUGUGCCUGGAGCCUUGCUGUUGCUCUUCUUUUGCUCCUACUCCCCUGGCUGCAGGCAGGCUCUUACCAUCACACCACAAAGCUGUUCUCACCAAAGUUCCCCGGG
Long non-coding RNA from Psammomys obesus (fat sand rat), 497 nucleotides. RefSeq lists it as uncharacterized. The transcript has 3 exons. Lineage: Eukaryota; Metazoa; Chordata; Mammalia; Rodentia; Muridae. The record is from RefSeq and is a predicted model, not a curated record.